AUCUGGAGAUAGAAAUUGAACUGAUAAAGUGUCAGACAAAAAUGAGGCUCAGAGAAAGAGAAAGGGCUUUAGGAACCAAUUAGCCCAACUUCUUUCCUUUUGAAAACAGGCCCAGAGAGAUUUGUGUAUCUAAUAAAUUUGGGUAUCUAAUAAAUUAGGUACACAAACAAGUAACAGAGGCAAGAUUUGAACUAAGUUUCUCUGACCCUUUAUCCAAGAGAACAGUUAGAAGAGAGGAUUUCAUGAGGAACCUAAGAUCCCUAAAGUUCUCCAGAACUUUAGCAUUAAUUCUGUGAAAACCAGCUUGUUGAGAGUUUGCUUUACUGGAAAAAGUGGAUGAAGAACAUUGAAGAAGAACUGAUGAAUUCCAGAAUUUCAUAUGAUUCCAUUGGCAAACAUAAAAUGACGCUGACAAGUUCCUAAAGACAUUUCUCAGGCUGAGAUAUGAGUGAGUCCAUUGUUUAAAAAG
This 469-nucleotide long non-coding RNA is filed under the name Sarcophilus harrisii (Tasmanian devil). RNAcentral's name for it is "lncRNA (ENSSHAG00000027147.1)". Lineage: Eukaryota; Metazoa; Chordata; Mammalia; Dasyuromorphia; Dasyuridae. The record is from RNAcentral.